This 484-nucleotide ribosomal RNA is filed under the name uncultured bacterium. RNAcentral describes it as "partial 16S ribosomal RNA". It matches the Rfam family "Bacterial small subunit ribosomal RNA", at positions 30 to 507 of the family's 1533-position model. The record is from RNAcentral.
AUUGAACGCUGGCGGCAGGCCUAACACAUGCAAGUCGAGCGGAUGAAGGGAGCUUGCUCCUGGAUUCAGCGGCGGACGGGUAAGUAAUGCCUAAGAAUCUGCCUGGUAGUGGGGGCUAAAGUCCGGAAACGGGCGCUAAUACCGCAUACGUCCUGAGGGAGAAAGUGGGGGAUCUUCGCACCUCACGCUAUCAGAUGAGCCUAGGUCGGAUUAGCUAGUUGUUGGGGUAAAGGCCUACCAAGGCGACGAUCCGUAACUGGUCUGAGAGGAUGACCAGGCACACUGGAACUGAGACACGGUCCAGACUCCUGCGGGAGGCAGCAGUGGGGAAUAUUGGACAAUGGGCGAAAUGCUGAUCCAGCGAUGCCGCGUGUGUGAAGAAGGUCUUCGGAUUGUAAAGCACUUUAAGUUGGGAGGAAGGGCAGUAAGUUAAUACCUUGCUGUUUUGACGGGACCAACAGAAUAAGCACCGGCUAACUUCGUG